ACUCGAUUUCACAAAACAGUCAAGAGUAAUCAAACCCACUUCAUUAAAAAUCCCGAUUCACCAUUACAACACUGUCUUCAGCAACGAUUGCCUCAGUCUUCCCAUAACCCUAUGAAGAAAAAAAACCUAAUUCUCUGUCUUCUUUCUCCGCCUGAAGCAUGAAGCUAGCUCUCUCGAUCCUUCAAAACCCCUCCAAAACUAUAUUCUCUCC
RNAcentral lists this long non-coding RNA (211 nucleotides) under Physcomitrium patens. Its description in RNAcentral is "long non-coding RNA (PPAT_LNC012206)". The record is from RNAcentral. Lineage: Eukaryota; Viridiplantae; Streptophyta; Bryopsida; Funariales; Funariaceae.